Molecule: ribosomal RNA, 397 nt
Filed under: uncultured bacterium
Lineage: Bacteria
Description: bacterial SSU rRNA
Rfam family: Bacterial small subunit ribosomal RNA
Source: RNAcentral
UAUUGCACAAUGGGGGAAACCCUGAUGCAGCGACGCCGCGUGAGUGAAGAAGUAAUUCGUUACGUAAAGCUCUAUCAGCAGGGAAGAAAAUGACGGUACCUGAGUAAGAAGCCCCGGCUAACUACGUGCCAGCAGCCGCGGUAAUACGUAGGGGGCAAGCGUUAUCCGGAUUUACUGGGUGUAAAGGGAGCGUAGACGGUGGGCCAAGUCUGGAGUGAAAUGCCGCAGCUUAACUGCGGAACUGCUUUGGAAACUGGCGGACGAGAGUGCGGGAGGGGUAAGCGGAAUUCCUAGUGUAGCGGUGAGAUGCGUAGAUAUUAGGGGGAACACCGGUGGCGAGGGCGGCUUACUGGACCGUAACUGACGUUGAGGCUCGAAAGCGUGGGGAGCAAACAGG